ACAUGCAAGUCGAGCGGAGAUGAGGUGCUUGCACCUUAUCUUAGCGGCGGACGGGUGAGUAAUGCUUAGGAAUCCGCCUAUUAGUGGGGGACAACAUUCCGAAAGGAAUGCUAAUACCGCAUACGUCCUACGGGAGAAAGCAGGGGAUCUUCGGACCUUGCGCUAAUAGAUGAGCCUAAGUCGGAUUAGCUAGUUGGUGGGGUAAAGGCCUACCAAGGCGACGAUCUGUAGCGGGUCUGAGAGGAUGAUCCGCCACACUGGGACUGAGACACGGCCCAGACUCCUACGGGAGGCAGCAGUGGGGAAUAUUGGACAAUGGGGGGAACCCUGAUCCAGCCAUGCCGCGUGUGUGAAGAAGGCCUUAUGGUUGUAAAGCACUUUAAGCGAGGAGGAGGCUACUGAGACUAAUACUCUUGGAUAGUGGACGUUACUCGCAGAAUAAGCACCGGCUAACUCUGUGCCAGCAGCCGCGGUAAUACAGAGGGUGCGAGCGUUAAUCGGAUUUACUGGGCGUAAAGCGUGCGUAGGCGGCUUUUUAAGUCGGGUGUGAAAUCCCCGAGCUUAACUUGGGAAUUGCAUUCGAUACUGGGAAGCUAGAGUAUGGGAGAGGAUGGUAGAAUUCCAGGUGUAGCGGUGAAAUGCGUAGAGAUCUGGAGGAAUACCGAUGGCGAAGGCAGCCAUCUGGCCUAAUACUGACGCUGAGGUACGAAAGCAUGGGGAGCAAACAGGAUUAGAUACCCUGGUAGUCCAUGCCGUAAACGAUGUCUACUAGCCGUUGGGGCCUUUGAGGCUUUAGUGGCGCAGCUAACGCGAUAAGUAGACCGCCUGGGGAGUACGGUCGCAAGACUAAAACUCAAAUGAAUUGGACGGGGGCCCGCACAAGCGGUGGAGCAUGUGG
This 898-nucleotide ribosomal RNA is filed under the name uncultured bacterium. Its description in RNAcentral is "bacterial SSU rRNA". It matches the Rfam family "Bacterial small subunit ribosomal RNA", at positions 53 to 944 of the family's 1533-position model. The record is from RNAcentral.